RNAcentral lists this unclassified non-coding RNA (352 nucleotides) under Hevea brasiliensis (rubber tree). The record is from RNAcentral. Lineage: Eukaryota; Viridiplantae; Streptophyta; Magnoliopsida; Malpighiales; Euphorbiaceae.
AAAGCUAAACUAAAUAAAAAAAUUGGGCUAUUAAAUUUGAACCGAACUUAAUUAAACUGAAAUUGAAACUUAAACUUUGGGGGUUCUGGACCAGUUCAGAUUCACCCUUGCGGUGAACCAUGAACCGACUGGCCAGGUCGAGGAUAUACGCCCCAUCCCAAUCCCAUUGCUAUAAUUGUGGUAGUAAAAACCUAAAAAUGAUGGAUUAAUUAAGAUUAAGCAAAUGAUAAAGGAGGUGCGGAUUAAUUUAUUGUUUUAACCAAUGAGAGGUUAACAGAGUCAGGGACGCAGCUUUUGCUUUAUAAAUACAAAGAAAGGGAUGACUCUAUUCUUCCACUGCGGCUUGCAGGGU